CAAGCUUUCGAAACUAACUGGCGAAAAGCUGCAACAAGGAUGAUACCAGGACACAUGGAAAGGUGUUGUCACACUUCUUCCUCUUUCUCCUGGAACGUCUGCGAACGCUUCUGGAGCCAGUGAGUGUUCAUAGCGUCACGACGCACCACUAGUUAACCUAUCAAACAUACCCCUGGCAUUCGAUCUAUCAGUUCGUUCAUGCAAGGGCAUGGUCAGGGGUUCAAUGUCUAUUGUCAUCCAGGGGGUGCGGUAUGGAUCGUGCUUAACUUUAACUACACGCAAAAUCGCCCUCUUGCUAAAUAAGCAUUGCUCCCUCUCCCCGCCCCGGCCCUUGCGGUAUGGAGCCUCGAACAGGAACUGCAAAACCAAGAGG
This 373-nucleotide small RNA is filed under the name Histoplasma ohiense. Its description in RNAcentral is "hypothetical lncRNA". Lineage: Eukaryota; Fungi; Ascomycota; Eurotiomycetes; Onygenales; Ajellomycetaceae. The record is from RNAcentral.